This 253-nucleotide ribosomal RNA is filed under the name uncultured bacterium. RNAcentral describes it as "partial 16S ribosomal RNA". It matches the Rfam family "Bacterial small subunit ribosomal RNA", at positions 524 to 776 of the family's 1533-position model. The record is from RNAcentral.
UACGGAGGGAGCUAGCGUUGUUCGGAAUUACUGGGCGUAAAGCGCACGUAGGCGGCUUUGUAAGUUAGAGGUGAAAGCCUGGAGCUCAACUCCAGAAUUGCCUUUAAGACUGCAUCGCUUGAAUCCAGGAGAGGUGAGUGGAAUUCCGAGUGUAGAGGUGAAAUUCGUAGAUAUUCGGAAGAACACCAGUGGCGAAGGCGGCUCACUGGCUCGAUACUGACGCUGAGGUGCGAAAGCGUGGGGAGCAAACAGG